Molecule: long non-coding RNA, 919 nt
Organism: Zophobas morio
Lineage: Eukaryota; Metazoa; Arthropoda; Insecta; Coleoptera; Tenebrionidae
Exons: 3
Source: RefSeq, a predicted model, not a curated record
AUAGGCAUGCAGUCGUCAAGUUUCCGACAGCGAGGGAAGUACUGUCUAAACUCUUUAGACCAAUUUUUUGGAAUUGGUUUUACCAAAGCACAUUUCCAUUGGCUAGGAAUUUGACUUAGUUCAAAAGAGUAAUUGAUGAUGUGAGUUAGAGGAUGUAAAAUCCAUGGAAGAGCCAUUUGCAACAUUUUACCUGAUACUCCAUCAAGGCCAGCAGCGUAAGACUUUUGUUUUGAAAUGAGUUCACUAAUCGUGUCAGUAUUUGCGGGAUGAUAAGAAAAUUUUGAGUUGUUAUCAUAAUAUUGAGAUGAGAAUUCGGAUAAAUACUCGACAUAAAUACGGAAAAUUAUAUGGUUAUUCUUAUCUAAGUAGCUACUCGCUGCUUACUUAAUUAAACAGCGCGCUUCAACACUCGAUGCAACACGCAUUUUCAGAUGCGAAGAGGCAAACUCGCAAAUUGCCUCUACAGUAGACGCACAAUUGGUAUCCUUUAAUAUGCAAGCAACCUGCAUUACACUCAUAAACGGUAUGAGUUGAAAAAAGAUCAAAAAUGGGUAUUCGUGUAGUCCUGGUCAAGCCGAUUUUAGCGGAAUUUCUGGAGAAAAAGGGGAGUUGUACCUUCAGAAAGUCAAGCAGAAGUCAUUAGAGUUGACAAAAAUGGGGUGGAAGCGGCCGCUGCUUCUUCAGCUGAUGUUCCCAUAUAUUCGAUAGCUAUGGACAAGUUUGUGGCAGAUCACCCUUUCAUGUUUUAUAUUAAGGUGAAGGGGGUGGUUUUGUUUGAAGGAAGAGUGCUAGAGCCACAAUAUUAGAGUUGUAUGAAAUGUUGUACUGAGUUAAAAAUCUUCAAAAUAAACCUUACUUCGAACUAAAUCUUAUCUGGUGCUUAUUAUUUAUCAUGCUGAAAUUAAGUGACACGUACUUA